UGCCUGCUCUAAGUGGUUACCCAGGA
RNAcentral lists this non-coding RNA (26 nucleotides) under Rattus norvegicus (Norway rat). Lineage: Eukaryota; Metazoa; Chordata; Mammalia; Rodentia; Muridae. The record is from RNAcentral.